Molecule: ribosomal RNA, 744 nt
Filed under: uncultured bacterium
Lineage: Bacteria
Description: bacterial SSU rRNA
Rfam family: Bacterial small subunit ribosomal RNA
Source: RNAcentral
AGAGUUUGAUCCUGGCUCAGAACGAACGCUGGCGGCAGGCUUAACACAUGCAAGUCGAACGCUCGUAGCAAUACGGGAGUGGCAGACGGGUGAGUAACGCGUGGGAACAUACCCUCCGGUUCGGAAUAGCUCAGGGAAACUUGGAUUAAUACCGGAUACGGCUGAGAGGCGAAAGAUUUAUCGCCGGAGGAUUGGCCCGCGUUCGAUUAGCUUGUUGGUGAGGUAACGGCUCACCAAGGCGAUGAUCGAUAGCUGGUCUGAGAGGAUGAUCAGCCAUAUUGGGACUGAGACACGGCCCAAACUCCUACGGGAGGCAGCAGUGGGGAAUAUUGGACAAUGGGCGCAAGCCUGAUCCAGCCAUGCCGCGUGAGUGAUGACGGCCUUAGGGUUGUAAAGCUCUUUCGCUCGGGACGAUAAUGACGGUACCGAGAUAAGAAGCCCCGGCUAACUUCGUGCCAGCAGCCGCGGUAAUACGAAGGGGGCUAGCGUUGUUCGGAAUUACUGGGCGUAAAGCGCGUGUAGGCGGGUCUUUAAGUCAGGGGUGAAAUGCCAAGGCUCAACCUUGGAACUGCCUUUGAUACUGAAGACCUUGAGUCCGGGAGAGGUGAGUGGAAUUGCGAGUGUAGAGGUGAAAUUCGUAGAUAUUCGCAAGAACACCAGUGGCGAAGGCGGCUCACUGGCCCGGAACUGACGCUGAGACGCGAAAGCGUGGGGAGCAAACAGGAUUAGAUACCCCGGUAGUCC